GAUGAACGCUGGCGGCGUGCCUAACACAUGCAAGUCGAACGGAGCGCCCGGACGGAGUAUUUCGGUACAAAGACCGGGUGGCUGAGUGGCGGACGGGUGAGUAACGCGUGGACAACCUGCCGUGUACAGGGGGAUAACAGCCGGAAACGGCUGCUAAUACCGCAUAUGCGCACAGUGCCGCAUGGCACAGGGCGGAAAGCCUAGAUCUUAUCUAGUACGGUACACGAUGGGUCCGCGUCUGAUUAGGUAGUUGGCGGGGUAACGGCCCACCAAGCCCACGAUCAGUAGCCGGCCUGAGAGGGCGGACGGCCACACUGGGACUGAGACACGGCCCAGACUCCUGCGGGAGGCAGCAGUGGGGAAUAUUGCACAAUGGGGGGAACCCUGAUGCAGCGACGCCGCGUGAAGGAAGAAGUAUCUCGGUAUGUAAACUUCUAUCAGCAGGGAAGAAAGAGGACGGUACCUGACUAAGAAGCCCCGGCUAACUACGUGCCAGCAGCC
This 501-nucleotide ribosomal RNA is filed under the name uncultured bacterium. RNAcentral describes it as "bacterial SSU rRNA". It matches the Rfam family "Bacterial small subunit ribosomal RNA", at positions 28 to 516 of the family's 1533-position model. The record is from RNAcentral.